AUAAUAAAGGAAAAUAUUUUUAGCUUCUCUCUUGUUGCUUCUCAUCUUUUGGAGAAAUAAGCUAAUUUAUCUGCAUCAAAUAAUUUUGAUUAGGAACUAAGAACCUUACAAAUAGCUUUGGUUUUACAAUUAGUAUCAGCAGUUCUAGCAGGUUCUGUUUUGAUCUAGUCCAUUCAGCACUUGAAGCUUUGUAGGUUGUCUUAUUUAUCACAUGGGAUGCAGCGUAGCCGCGUAGGUCCAGAACAUGUUGAUGUUUAUCUUUUUUUAUCAGUAUUCAGAAAUAGAAAGAGAACUAAAGGAUUUGAGGAAUUAUAUAUACUUAGGGAGU
Long non-coding RNA from Telopea speciosissima, 328 nucleotides. RefSeq lists it as uncharacterized. NCBI's taxonomy places the organism in Eukaryota, Viridiplantae, Streptophyta, Magnoliopsida, Proteales, Proteaceae. The record is from RefSeq and is a predicted model, not a curated record. The transcript is spliced from 2 exons.